Xenopus tropicalis (tropical clawed frog) is the source of this 633-nucleotide long non-coding RNA. RefSeq lists it as uncharacterized. The record is from RefSeq and is a predicted model, not a curated record. The transcript is spliced from 3 exons. Lineage: Eukaryota; Metazoa; Chordata; Amphibia; Anura; Pipidae.
CCUGAUAAACCUGACAUCAGGGUCACUGAUCACUUUACAUGGUGGCAGAUACUUUUCAUAGUAAUCGGUGCUGUUGCGGUUGUUGCUGCUGUUAUUGGGAUAGCAAUCUGCUUGUGCAAGAGAAGACAGAAAGGCAAAGCUGGAAGGCCUCCAUCUAACACAACAGAUAAUGGCAAUGCAAGGGGAGAAACUGGGGUUCUCUUACCUCCCAGCUCAGUGGCUACAGGGACAAGUGUGGCUGCUGCAAAGACAGAAAGUUCUGUUACUAAUUCCUUCCCCGAAUGGCUCACAGGCUGCUGGGGUUUUGUGAAAAGUGAAAGAGACAAACCACGUGACCAAAAUGUUCCGUGAUUCGUGGAGCAGACGGGGGCUGCUCACCCCCUGCUGUGUGUGUGAUUCCCACCCAGAUUCAACAUGGAAUCAUUAGGAAAGACAUUUGCAGUUAUCCCACACCCUCCUAUCUGUGCCUGCGUCAGGCGAAAACCCGCUUUCCGCUGAACCAUUUCUGGCCUGACCCUGGCGGGAUUUAUUUAGAAGGAUUUGAAACCAUUUUGAACAUUAUUUAACAUUUCUAUUGAUUGGAACAAAAGACUGUGAAUCUAGUGUUGAAUAGAGUGCUCGCUUUUUUAUGAA